AGAGAGGACUGCUCCUCUGACGUUAGCGGCGGACGGGUGAGUAACACGUGGAUAACCUACCUAUAAGACUGGGAUAACUUCGGGAAACCGGAGCUAAUACCGGAUAAUAUAUUGAACCGCAUGGUUCAAUAGUGAAAGACGGUUUUGCUGUCACUUAUAGAUGGAUCCGCGCCGCAUUAGCUAGUUGGUAAGGUAACGGCUUACCAAGGCAACGAUGCGUAGCCGACCUGAGAGGGUGAUCGGCCACACUGGAACUGAGACACGGUCCAGACUCCUACGGGAGGCAGCAGUGGUCUGCUUUUUUUUCC
This 308-nucleotide ribosomal RNA is filed under the name Staphylococcus sp. PL2.2. RNAcentral describes it as "bacterial SSU rRNA". It matches the Rfam family "Bacterial small subunit ribosomal RNA", at positions 71 to 357 of the family's 1533-position model. Lineage: Bacteria; Bacillati; Bacillota; Bacilli; Caryophanales; Staphylococcaceae. The record is from RNAcentral.